RNAcentral lists this long non-coding RNA (5764 nucleotides) under Prunus persica (peach). Its description in RNAcentral is "long non-coding RNA (PPER_LNC001449)". The record is from RNAcentral. Lineage: Eukaryota; Viridiplantae; Streptophyta; Magnoliopsida; Rosales; Rosaceae.
GUUGCCGGGAAAAUUGUGGUAUGUGAUCGAGGGGGAACUCCUAGAGUCCGAAAGAGCUUGGUGGUAAAAAAGGCUGGUGGCUUAGGGAUGAUUUUGGCGAACACUGAUACUUACGGAGAAGAACUUGUUGCAGAUGCAUAUCUCUUGCCUACAGCAGCAGUUGGCCAGAAAGCUGGUGAUGCAAUAAAAAGCUAUAUUGCCUCAGGUUCUAAUCCAACAGCCACAAUUGCUCUGGGAGACACAGAGUUAGAUGUGCAACCCUCACCAGUGGUGGCAUCAUUCAGCUCUAGAGGACCAAAUCUCAUCACUCCAGAAAUACUCAAACCAGACCUAAUAGCACCAGGAGUGAACAUCCUUGCUGGGUGGACUGGUGCAGUUGGACCAACUGGAUUAGCUGAAGACAAAAGGCGGGUCACCUUCAACAUCAUUUCGGGUACAUCCAUGUCAUGUCCACAUGUGAGUGGUUUGGCCGCCCUCGUCAUGGCAGCUCACCCAGAAUGGAGCCCUGCUGCCAUUAAGUCUGCACUCAUGACCACAUCCUAUACAACUUACAAAACUGGAGAAACAAUCAAAGAUAUAGCAACUGGAAAUCCUGCAACACCGUUCGAUUAUGGUGCUGGGCAUGUGGACCCAGUGGCAGCCCUUGACCCUGGCCUUGUCUAUGAUGCUGCUGUCGAGGACUACCUAAGCUUCCUCUGUGCCUUGAAUUAUACCACAACCCAGAUCAAGCUAACCACUCAUAAAGACUUCACCUGCGAUUCAAGCAAGAAAUACAGCCUUCGAGAUUUAAAUUACCCAUCUUUUGCUGUUCCUCUAGAAACAGCUUCAGGCAAAGGGGGUGGUUCUGGAGCUUCAACCACUGUAAAAUACACACGGACGCUGACCAAUGUGGGUACCCCGGCAACAUACAAGGUAUCAGUGUCUUCACAGACACCAUCAGUGAAGAUCACGGUUGAACCAGAAUCACUGAGUUUCAGUCAAGCAUACGAGAAGAAAACUUAUACUGUGACUUUUGUUGCUAGUUCUUCACCAUCCGGUACAACCAGCUUUGGUCGGCUGGAAUGGUCUGAUGGGAAACACACAGUAGGUAGUCCUAUUGCUUUCAGCUGGGAAUAAUUUUAACAGCAUUGAAGAACUGAUCCAACUCCAGAUCAGAAUUGUAUGGUUCCUGCCCAAAAAAAAAACCAAGUGUAUAUCUCUUAGUAUGUUGUGAACUUGUCCUGUAGCUCUCUGGUAUCCUAACAACUGAGCACAUAUAGCCAGUUGAUGUGUUUCUUUUUUCCACUCUUGAAAUUAAAAGGGAAUGCAAAGAUGGAAAAUUAAUUGUACAGGAAACUGUAUAGACAUGGGGCUUCGAAAAGGAUUCCAAGUUGUAUUCAUAUAUGAUAUAUAAGUUAUAACUAAAGCUAAGAUGACCUUAUCUUCAUUGUCUUGGCCAUUGAGGCCUUCUUUUCUCUUCUUUUUCUUCGGACCCAAAAAAAAGCCACAAGGACUCAUGAUUGUCAUGAAUUCAUAAUCUCUCAUCAAUGAGUUCAACAAUUUGGCAUGAUUUGAUAUUGGAGCAAAGCCAGAACGGUACAUUAUACAUAAGUUGCUCUAAAAUACACAUCACACUUGAUAUCAGUCCAGCUAACUUACAAUUAUUAUCACCGAAAGCACUGGUGGUUGCCUUUUCUUACCAUCACCCAGAAGAAAGCUGUUAUUUUGUUUCCAUUUGUCCUCAAAUACAUAAAACCAAAACCUUAAGGAAACAAAAUUAAUCAAAGCUUACCACAUACAUACCAAAAGAAAGGAACUUUCAGUCAUCCUUACCCCACUUGAAUCUUCAUCACAAAAAAAUGAAUCUCAAAGGAGAAUUAGUCUGAAAUAGAAGGAGAAAAAGACAAUAUCUGAUAUGUAUAUCUUUUAUGAUAAAAUUAAUCCGAAUUCAGUGAACAACAAUCAAAUUGGCUACGUCAUUCGCCGGAGCACUAGUGAGCCACGACGAGUAGUCUUCUUCUAGCAAGCAAUCUUUGAUCCUCGUUUACCAAAAUCUCAUUGAUCGAUUGCUUAGCCCAAAUGUUGACCUUGGAGCUGGGUUUGGGUCUUCAAACUAAUCUGAUUGAUUCAUUGCUUAACAGCCACUUUACAGGCAGACUGGGCUGGCGUUGUCAGAAACCCAGAUUAAUUUGCUUGUACAUUUUGGGCCCCAUUUCAUUAACGAGUAAAAUAAAAUAAAAUUUGAAGCCUUUUUAACAUAUUCAAGCAAAGAAUUAAAUUAGAAAAUUGGCAAAAAGAUGGUUCAAAUGUCAAGAGGUUUGAUUGAAUUUAUCCGAAGACUAAUCAUAACUGAACUGAAUAGUAAAAAUUACGAUAAUGAAAAAGAAAAAUGGCAUAAUUGUAAAAUGAUAUUUCGUAUAUAUGUUUUCUUGAAAUACAGAGGAAAGACAAUAUAUAAAGCCAAAAAAACUACCCAAGUAAGGUAAAUUAGAUCCUAAGUUAAAGGCACUACCCCAAGAAGGUAAAUUAGAUCCUAAGUUAAAGGCACUAUCUUAACAGAGAAGUUGACUAUAUAUUUAGUAAUCUUCGAAUAUCGUCAAUAUAUAUAUAGCAUGUAAUUUUUAUGUUACCUCUUCCAUUCUUUAAUAACAAAUGAGAGUUUGUUACAAAGCAAACAAGUCUUUAUAAAUAAAAUAAAACCCAUCUUAAAUUUAUUUCUUUUUUUCUCUUGGGUGUUAGAGUUGGGUGAAUUCGCCCACUUAAUUCGCCCAAAUUAUGCAGCUUAUCCAUAUAAAUAUAAAGUAAAUUUAGGUUUUAGCCACAAAAAAACUUUUACUUUUGGAAAAAGACAAAACUUUUUCAAAAAAAACAGAAAAACCCUUCAACUUUCAAAUCAAAGACAUUCAAAUGUAAAGGAUUCCUUAGAAAAUCCAAAAAUAAAUAAGAGCAUUUUUGUCCAUUUUGGCUUCUUUUAAAAAUAUCUCUCCAUAGGCCUUUUCCAAAAAUGCAUAUGAUUCAGUCAUGAAUGAAAACCAUGGUCAUGUAUAUAGACACAUAUCAAGUAUUGAGAAGAAUAAUAAAAAUACACCUUAGUUUAAAGUGAGAGCAAAAGCACUCUCUUUUUAUAUCCAAGAAACAAAAAUCUACUACAAUUAAGACUCAACUCAACUCUACUCUGCUACAAUUAAUACUAUUUAAAUUAGGAAUCUCUGAGUGCCAUGUGAGUUUAAUUGGUGUCCGAGUGGUUUCAUUUAAUUUAACAUAUCCUUGUUUCUUCCUUUUUCUCUUGUCGGGGGUGUUAGAGUGGGUCUUUUUUUGUGUGGGGAAAUUUAGAGUUGGGUCAGUUGGCCCAUUUAAUACGCCCAAACCAAGGAUGCUGCUUAUCCAUAUCCAGAUCCAGAUCCAGUCAUGAAUGAUGCAAUACAGCAUUAGCAGUUUCAUUCUAUAUAUCCAAUCCAAGUUCCAACAAAAAUAAUAUGAUACGAAUUCCAAUCUCACGUGAGUUUCCAAAAGUGUAUUUUUAAGUAAGGAAUUGCUCAGUGCCAAUGUCAUGUCACGCCCACGUGAGUGUUUAUUGGCGUCCGAGUGGUUUCAUUGGCCCUCAACUACAAUUUGUAUUUCUUUAUUAUUCCUCGAAGGAGAAAAUAUAAAUAGCCUAGUACCAUUCCAUUCCAUGCGAACCUAUCAAUGCCAUUGGCACUGCAAAUACUGCCUUUCCCAAAGUAGCAAAAGGAAAAAUUCAGAAGCUCAGGCUUGUAACGAUUGGGAAGAUGAAAACAUCCAUUUGCAUGCUUUCACUAACGCGGAUGCUGAUGCUUCUGGUUCUCUCUCACAACAUCUUGUGCACGGUAGCGGUAGCAGGAGAGAGAGAGCAGCAGACGAAAAAGACUUACAUCAUUCAGAUGGACAAAUCCAAAAUGCCUGCAAGUUUUGCCGACGAUCAUUUCCAAUGGUAUGGCUCCUCUUUGAAAUCGGUGUCCAACUCAGCAGACAUGCUCUACACCUACAAAAAUGUUAUCCACGGCUUCUCUACCAGGCUAACUGCUGAGGAAGCUGAGCUUCUUGAAAGACAAUCCGGAAUCCUUUCUGUUAUGCCUGAGUUGAGAUAUGAGCUCCACACAACUCGGACGCCCCAGUUCCUUGGAAUGUUAGGCGGCAUAAACGAAGCCGUCUUCCCGGCAUCAGAGAAACUCGGCAAGGUGAUUAUUGGAGUGGUUGACACCGGCGUAUGGCCUGAGAUCAAAAGCUACGAUGACAAAGGGCUUGGGCCAGUGCCAAGAAGCUGGAGAGGGCAGUGUGAGGAAGGCAAGAACUUCAACUCCUCAAGCUGCAACCGAAAACUCAUUGGUGCGAGGUUUUUCCCAAAAGGGUAUGAAGCAUCAAAUCUUGGACCCAUUGAUGAAAAAGUAGAAUCAAGAUCACCAAGAGAUGUUGAUGGCCAUGGAACUCAAGCCUCAACCAUUGCAGCCGGGUCUGCAGUUCCAGGAGCUAGCCUCUAUGGUUAUGCUUCGGGGACAGCAAGGGGAAUGGCUACACAAGCUAGAGUGGCCACAUAUAAGGCUUGCUGGUCUGGUUGGUGCUUGAGCUCUGAUAUUCUAGCCGCAAUGGACAAAGCUGUUGAAGAUGGUGUCCACAUUUUAUCUGUGUCUAUUGGGAGAUCGCAGUAUGAGGAUUUCUACACCGACUUUAUUGCUAUUGGAGCAUUCUCUGCCAUGGCCAAGGGAGUCUUUGUAUCGUGUUCAGCUGGAAAUCGUGGGCCAGAAGCGGAUAGCACUUCUAACAACGCACCUUGGAUAACCACCGUGGGUGCUGGAACAAUAGACCGUGAUUUCCCCGCUCAUGUUAGCUUGGGAAAUGGGAAAAAAUACAGAGGAGCAUCAAUUUACAGCGGAACACACUUAUCUAGUGGAUUGCAUCCGCUUGUUUAUGCUCGCAAUGCAAGUAACUCCACAAGUGACUCCACAAGUGAUCCAUGCGCUCCUGACAGCUUGAUUCCUGAAAAGGUUUUUGGGAAAAUUGUGGUGUGUGAUCAGGGAGGAACUUACAGCAGGGUCGAUAAGAGUAUGGUGGUCAAAAAGGCCGGUGGCAUGGGGAUGAUUUUGGCUGACAUUGAAGGUUAUGGAGAAGAACUUGUUGUCGACUCAUAUGUCUUGCCUGUAGUAGUGGUAGGCCAAAAAGAAGGUGAUGCAAUAAAAAGGUAUAUUGUCUCCCACGACAAUCCAAAAGCCACAUUUUCUGGCGGGAAGACAGAGUUAGGUGUCGAACCCUCACCGGUGGUGGCAGCAUUCAGCUCUCGAGGACCAAAUCCAGUCGCUUUAACAGUACUCAAACCAGACCUAAUAGCACCAGGAGUGAAUAUCCUAGCUGGGUGGACUGGUGCACUUGGACCAGCUAGACGAGCUGAGGACACCAGGCGGGUGAGCUUCAACAUUUUUUCAGGUACAUCCAUGUCAUGCCCACAUGUGAGUGGACUGGCUGCAGUUCUCAAGGCCGCUCACCCCAAAUGGAGCCCUGCAGCCAUUAAGUCUGCUCUCAUGACCACAUCCUAUGCAACGUACAAAAAUGGUGCACCAAUCAAAGAUGUUGCUACUGGAAAACCUGCAACACCAUUUGAUUAUGGCGCCGGGCAUGUCGACCCUGUGGCAGCCCUUGACCCAGGCCUUGUUUAUGAUCUUGGUGUCAAGGACUACCUAAACUUCCUCUGUGCCUAUCGUUAUACAAGCAGCGAUAUCAAGAUACUCACCCACAUAGACUUCACCUGCGAUUCAAGCAAGAAUUACAGCGC